UCAACCUAUUCCUUUCACCUUUCUCCCUCUUCCUCUUCCUCUUCCUCUCUCGUCCAAUAAUUCACCCAAUUUGCACCCAAUUCCUCCCAUGAUUUCACCCAACUUCAUAGGACACUGAAAAUGAGAGAUUAAGACUACAAUUGAUAUGUUGGGGAGGAUGAUGAAAGGAAGGGUGAGAAUGAUGGGGGACACGGUGACAGGGAGGAUGAUGUGAAUUGUGUCCAGGAACCUGCAACAUUCGAUGUUAAUGAGUUUGGGCUUACAUGUGUCAAUUUCAAAAAGAAAUGUUCUCAAAGUGAUCCUUUUGUGUUAGCAUCACAAGUUCAUCAGGUUUUUUUUGUACAAGAUCCAGAAGAACAUGAUAUUCACUAUGUCAUGCAACGGGUUCCAAGAGAGUUAUUCGACUUCGAGGAAGCAAUGAAUGAGGAAACCUAUAGAAGCUAUUGAUUCUAGUGGUAGUGACAUACCUAAUGUGGAUGCAAGUGAUACUUAUUUAAGAGUUAGUGGUGAAGUACGAUCGGUGGAAAUCACUGACAUCGUAGAUGCUUUGGAUAUAACUUAGACUUUGAACAUGAUAAUACAGAUUGGGAUUGGAUGCAUGCUGAUACCGAUACUUGACUCAUAAUAUUUAGAGCUUAAGACUGAGUUUUACACUCUUUUAUAUGUUCUUUAAAUCAUUUUUGUUUUUUUCACAUUGCUCAACAUUUUUCUCAUUCUGGUUAGGUUUUUUUACUGUAAAAAUACUCAUUGAAAGCUUUUCCAUGAUGAAACUUUUGGACGCUAGAACUCUAUGUUUCAUUAUGCUAGAUCAAUCGUAUACCUCUGCAUGUACAGAUGAUUGAAUAUGUGUGUCACUUUUGAAGGAAACAUGUAUUACUUUUAUUGCGUUAAGCUAUCAAAUUUUAAGAUAGUGAUGUAAUACAUAUCUCGCACUAGCUAGAACAACUUAUAGCUCGUGUAUGUGCUUUAAUUUGAGGUCUAAGGGCUACUUGUCGCAUUCUCUAAUUCGAGGUUUAUAUGCUACUUGUCACAUGUUAAUUAGCUUGCCCUUCCCCUGAUUGAUAGGAUAAAAUAAC
Molecule: long non-coding RNA, 1076 nt
Organism: Beta vulgaris subsp. vulgaris (sugar beet)
Lineage: Eukaryota; Viridiplantae; Streptophyta; Magnoliopsida; Caryophyllales; Amaranthaceae
Exons: 3
Source: RefSeq, a predicted model, not a curated record